RNAcentral lists this long non-coding RNA (265 nucleotides) under Mytilus galloprovincialis (Mediterranean mussel). Lineage: Eukaryota; Metazoa; Mollusca; Bivalvia; Mytilida; Mytilidae. The record is from RNAcentral.
GUGGCAUUCAUUCGGACAUUUCAUUAGUACAGCAAACCACAUUACAUCAUAAACUAUUACUUUUUUAAUUCGUGCCAUACAUAACCAUGAUUUGUUUUACCUCAACAAUACAUGACGUACACGUACGUAAUUUAACGAUGACUAUGGGGAGUCAGUUUCUACAUCAAAAUGCAUCUAAAUAGAUAGUUCUGUUAUUUAUGCUUAACAGUAAAUUUUCAAAACACUAUCGAAAACAAAAUCAGUCUACAUGUAUAUUUACUUGUUU